CUAACAGCACUGAGGAGGUCAGUGGGUGAGGGUAGGAGGGCAGGAUACUCUUCCAGGAUGGGCUGAGUGUCUGCUUCAAGAUGGACAAGAUUCCUGGUGUGGGCUUUGGAGCAGGACUCCAGCAGGAGAGCCUGGCAUUGUGAGAGCCGUGGAAUAGCUGCACGGUCUCAUGCUGUGCAGUUAAGUGGUUUUCCUUUGUCCAGGGGAGAGGUGGCAUUCAGAGACUGAUGGAGGAAUUUCGUGUCUGGGAUGUUUCUUCAAUUCGGAAGAAGGAGGGCCUCGAUUUCUCCAGUUAAUGCUUAUGCUGAAAAGGAUUCCUGAAGAAUGAAUUACUUGGUCUCCUGACUCUGCAAAUCCUCUCCUCACACCCACCCUGCCCCCAUCUUGUCCUUUUUCUCUGCUUCAGAGGUGUCAGUGGCUCCAGAAAGGUGAACUCUGCUUUACUUUUGCUGGUCCCUUCCAUACCUUCACACCCUUCUUUGGGUGACGUGGAAGCCUUUGAGGAAUGACUUGAUGUCACUGUUUGGGAGGUGACCCAGAGUUCUGCUGCCUGCUGGGGUGAACUGCAGGAUGCCUCUGGGGGAUUGUGAGGUUCCUGCUGUACAAAGUUGUGCCUGGCCUUUGGCUCAGCUCCACACUGAAGCUCAGAGGAGCUGUGUGUGCCAUGGAGCCCCCAGUGCUGUGU
This is a non-coding RNA of Sturnus vulgaris (Common starling), 685 nucleotides long. The record is from RefSeq and is a predicted model, not a curated record. NCBI's taxonomy places the organism in Eukaryota, Metazoa, Chordata, Aves, Passeriformes, Sturnidae.